UCAAGUUAAAAAGAGCACUAGGAGAAUGCCUAGGCACCAAGAGGCGAAGAAGGACGUGACAAGCUGCGAAAAGCUGAGGUUAGCUGCAAAUAAGCCAAGCCUCAGAUAUCCGAAUGGGGAAACCCACCUCAAAAGAGGAAUCCUAUAGCCAAUAAAUAACUAUAGGAAGCGAACCAGGUGAACUGAAACAUCUAAGUAACCUGAGGAAGAGAAAGAAAACUCGAUUCCCAAAGUAGCGGCGAGCGAACAGGGAAGAGCCCAAACGUGUAAAAAGAGAAAAUAGCCAGUCGAAUCAUCUGGGAAGACGAACCAAAGAAGGUAACAGUCCCGUAGACGAAGGCGAAGAUAUCCGACACAAAAGAGUACCACGGAACACGAGAAAUUCAGUGGGAAUACAGGGGGACCACCCCCUAAGGCUAAAUACUACUUGGUGACCGAUAGCGAACAAGUACCGUGAGGGAAAGGUGAAAAGAACCCCGGGAGGGGAGUGAAAUAGAAUCUGAAACCUAGUGUUUACAAGCAGCGAAAGUGGCAAAAGCCACGAUCGUGUACUUUUUGUAGAACGGGCCAGCGAGUUACGAUUACAAGCAAGGUUAAACAUUAAAGAUGUGGAGCCGAAGCGAAAGCGAGUCUAAAGAGGGCAAAAGUUAGUAGUCGUAGACCCGAAACCGUGUGAUCUAUCCAUGAGCAGAGUGAAGUUGAAGUAAAAUUCAAUGGAGGCUCGAACCGGGUAGCGUUUAAAAGCUAUCGGAUGACUUGUGGAUAGGGGUGAAAAGCCAAACGAACACGGAGAUAGCUGGUUCUCCUCGAAAUAGCUUUAGGGCUAGCCUCUAGCAAGAAUGAAAAGGGGGUAGAGCACUGACUGGUCAAGGGGCAUGCAUAUGUUACCGAGACCUAUCAAACUCCGAAUACCAAAUCAUACGCUAGGGAGUCAGACUAUGGGGGAUGAGCUUCAUAGUCGAAAGGGAAAGAGCCCAGACCAUCAGCUAAGGUCCCAAAAUUAUAGUUAAGUGGGAAAGGAUGUGGAGUUACUGAGACAACUAGGAUGUUGGCUUAGAAGCAGCCACUCAUUUAAAGAGUGCGUAAUAGCUCACUAGUCAAGUGACUCUGCGCCGAAGAUAACCGGGGCUAAACUAUAUACCGAAGCUAUGGAACGAAAAACGUUGGUAGAGGAGCAAUGUAUGAAGGAAGAAGCAGAAGUUGAAAAGCACUGUGGACAUCAUACAAGAGAGAAUGCUGGCAUGAGUAGCGAGAGGUGAGUGAGAAUCUCACCCGUCGAAAACCUAAGGAUUCCUGAGCAAGGCUCGUCCACUCAGGGUAAGUCGGGACCUAAGGCGAGGCUGAAAAGCGUAGUCGAUGGACAACAGGUUGAAAAUCCUGUACCGAUACAAUCAGUGAGGAAGUGGGGACGCAGAAGGAUAAUAAGAGCGCCCAGUUGGUGAGGCGUGCAAGCGCAAAGGAUGGGAAGUAGGCAAAUCCGCUUUCCGAGAAGUCUAAAGCGUGAUGCGGAUCGAAAACAAGUAGAGAAGCUUAUAACUCCACACUGCCAAGAAAAGCCACUACAAGAGAAGUAUCGCCCGUACCGCAAACCGACACAGGUAGGUGAGGAGAGAAUCCUAAGACGAGCGGAAAAACCUUUGUUAAGGAACUCGGCAAAAUGACCCCGUAACUUCGGGAGAAGGGGAGCCCCUGUAAAAGGGGGCCGCAGUGAAAAGGCCCAAGCGACUGUUUACCAAAAACACAAGUUUCUGCGAAGUCGAAAGACGAAGUAUAGGAGCUGACACCUGCCCGGUGCUGGAAGGUUAAGGGAAAAAGUUAGCAUAAGCGAAGCUUAGAACUGAAGCCCCAGUAAACGGCGGCCGUAACUAUAACGGUCCUAAGGUAGCGAAAUUCCUUGUCGGGUAAGUUCCGACCCGCACGAAAGG
This 1925-nucleotide ribosomal RNA is filed under the name human gut metagenome. Its description in RNAcentral is "bacterial LSU rRNA". It matches the Rfam family "Bacterial large subunit ribosomal RNA", at positions 3 to 1999 of the family's 2925-position model. The record is from RNAcentral.